This 497-nucleotide ribosomal RNA is filed under the name uncultured bacterium. RNAcentral's name for it is "partial 16S ribosomal RNA". It matches the Rfam family "Bacterial small subunit ribosomal RNA", at positions 28 to 507 of the family's 1533-position model. The record is from RNAcentral.
GAUGAACGCUGGCGGCGUGCCUAAUACAUGCAAGUCGAGCGAACAGACGAGGAGCUUGCUCCUCUGACGUUAGCGGCGGACGGGUGAGUAACACGUGGAUAGCCUACCUAUAAGACUGGGAUAACUUCGGGAAACCGGAGCUAAUACCGGAUAAUAUAUUGAACCGCAUGGUUCAAUAGUGAAAGACGGUUUUGCUGUCACUUAUAGAUGGAUCCGCGCCGCAUUAGCUAGUUGGUAAGGUAACGGCUUACCAAGGCGACGAUGCGUAGCCGACCUGAGAGGGUGAUCGGUCACACUGGAACUGAGACACGGUCCAGACUCCUACGGGAGGCAGCAGUAGGGAAUCUUCCGCAAUGGGCGAAAGCCUGACGGAGCAACGCCGCGUGAGUGAUGAAGGUCUUCGGAUCGUAAAACUCUGUUAUUAGGGAAGAACAAAUGUGUAAGUAACUAUGCACGUCUUGACGGUACCUAAUCAGAAAGCCACGGCUAACUACGUG